Molecule: ribosomal RNA, 278 nt
Filed under: Clostridioides difficile
Lineage: Bacteria; Bacillati; Bacillota; Clostridia; Peptostreptococcales; Peptostreptococcaceae
Description: partial 23S ribosomal RNA
Rfam family: Bacterial large subunit ribosomal RNA
Source: RNAcentral
GUCAAGAAAAGUCUCUAUCGAGGUUAAAGGUACCCGUACCGCAAACCGACACAGGGGGGUGAGGAGAGUAUCCUAAGGCCAGCGAGAGAACUGUUGUUAAGGAACUCGGCAAAAUGACCCCGUAACUUAGGGAUAAGGGGUGCCACCAUCAGGUGGCCGCAGAGAAUAGGCCCAAGCGACUGUUUACCAAAAACAUAGGUUUCUGCUAAGUCGCAAGACGAUGUAUAGGAGCUGACGCCUGCCCGGUGCUGGAAGGUUAAGGGGAUCUGUUAGAGCAA